RNAcentral lists this ribosomal RNA (445 nucleotides) under uncultured bacterium. RNAcentral describes it as "partial 16S ribosomal RNA". It matches the Rfam family "Bacterial small subunit ribosomal RNA", at positions 354 to 796 of the family's 1533-position model. The record is from RNAcentral.
GUGAGGAAUAUUGGUCAAUGGGCGGGAGCCUGAACCAGCCAAGUCGCGUGAAGGAAGAAGGAUCUAUGGUUCGUAAACUUCUUUUGCAGGGGAAUAAAGUGCAGGACGUGUCCUGUUUUGUAUGUACCCUGAGAAUAAGGAUCGGCUAACUCCGUGCCAGCAGCCGCGGUAAUACGGAGGAUCCGAGCGUUAUCCGGAUUUAUUGGGUUUAAAGGGUGCGUAGGAGGGUUGAUAAGUCAGCGGUGAAAGUUUGCAGCUUAACUGUAAAAAUGCCGUUGAAACUGUCGGACUUGAGUGUAAAUGAGGUAGGCGGAAUGCGUGGUGUAGCGGUGAAAUGCAUAGAUAUCACGCAGAACUCCGAUUGCGAAGGCAGCUUACUAAGCUACAACUGACACUGAAGCACGAAAGCGUGGGGAUCAAACAGGAUUAGAUACCCUAGUAGUCC